UGGGGAAUUUUGGACAAUGGGCGAAANCCUGAUCCAGCAAUGCCGCGUGUGUGAAGAAGGCCUUCGGGUUGUAAAGCACUUUUGUCCGGAAAGAAAUCCUUGGCUCUAAUACAGUCGGGGGAUGACGGUACCGGAAGAAUAAGCACCGGCUAACUACGUGCCAGCAGCCGCGGUAAUACGUAGGGUGCAAGCGUUAAUCGGAAUUACUGGGCGUAAAGCGUGCGCAGCCGGUUUGCUAAGACCGAUGUGAAAUCCCCGGGCUCAACCUGGGAACUGCAUUGGUGACUGGCAGGCUAGAGUAUGGCAGAGGGGGGUAGAAUUCCACGUGUAGCAGUGAAAUGCGUAGAGAUGUGGAGGAAUACCGAUGGCGAAGGCAGCCCCCUGGGCCAAAUACUGACGCUCAUGCACGAAAAGCGUGGGGAGCAAACAGGAUUAGAUACCCUGGUAGUCCACGCCCUAAAACGAUGUCAACUAGUUGUUGGGGAUUCAUUUCCUUAGUAACGUAGCUAACGCGUGAAGUUGACCGCCUGGGGAGUACGUCGCAAGAUUAAAACUCAAAUGAAUUGACGGGGUCAUGCUGUUUCCU
RNAcentral lists this ribosomal RNA (586 nucleotides) under uncultured bacterium. RNAcentral describes it as "partial 16S ribosomal RNA". It matches the Rfam family "Bacterial small subunit ribosomal RNA", at positions 355 to 932 of the family's 1533-position model. The record is from RNAcentral.